This 497-nucleotide ribosomal RNA is filed under the name uncultured bacterium. RNAcentral's name for it is "partial 16S ribosomal RNA". It matches the Rfam family "Bacterial small subunit ribosomal RNA", at positions 28 to 507 of the family's 1533-position model. The record is from RNAcentral.
GAUGAACGCUGGCGGCGUGCCUAAUACAUGCGAGUCGAGCGAACAGACGAGGAGCUUGCUCCUCUGACGUUAGCGGCGGACGGGUGAGUAACACGUGGAUAACCUACCUAUAAGACUGGGAUAACUUCGGGAAACCGGAGCUAAUACCGGAUAAUAUAUUGAACCGCAUGGUUCAAUAGUGAAAGACGGUUUUGCUGUCACUUAUAGAUGGAUCCGCGCCGCAUUAGCUAGUUGGUAAGGUAACGGCUUACCAAGGCAACGAUGCGUAGCCGACCUGAGAGGGCGAUCGGCCACACUGGAACUGAGACACGGUCCAGACUCCUACGGGAGGCAGCAGUAGGGAAUCUUCCGCAAUGGGCGAAAGCCUGACGGAGCAACGCCGCGUGAGUGAUGAAGGUCUUCGGAUCGUAAAACUCUGUUAUUAGGGAAGAACAAAUGUGUAAGUAACUAUGCACGUCUUGACGGUACCUAAUCAGAAAGCCACGGCUAACUACGUG